RNAcentral lists this non-coding RNA (202 nucleotides) under [Clostridium] cellulosi. Its description in RNAcentral is "Clostridium cellulosi T-box sequence". It matches the Rfam family "T-box leader". From Rfam's summary of the family: Uncharged tRNA acts as the effector for transcription antitermination of genes in the T-box leader family. The record is from RNAcentral. Lineage: Bacteria; Bacillati; Bacillota; Clostridia; Eubacteriales; Oscillospiraceae.
UAUAAGGCGUUGAUCGGGAGAGUAGCUUUUAUAAAGGCUAAAGAGAGGGAAAGUCGCCGGCUGUAAGCUUUCCUGCCGUAUAUAUAAGUGAAAUGCGCCCGGGAGCCCCGCAUGUGAAAAUUCAAAGUAGCGUGCGGCGUAUGGCAGCGUUAAAGCCUUUGAGUUAUAAAUCGGAGUGGAACCGCGGGAUACCGCCUCCGGC